This 431-nucleotide long non-coding RNA is filed under the name Mytilus galloprovincialis (Mediterranean mussel). Lineage: Eukaryota; Metazoa; Mollusca; Bivalvia; Mytilida; Mytilidae. The record is from RNAcentral.
UUAAUAUGAGUAUGACCCAGAAAGUAUAUAAGGUUAUUAGUUCAUCAAUCACAUUAAUGUUUCAUUCUAUCAUCUAUAUACCAAGCAUUUAAUAAGGUAUUACAUGAAGAAGGUACUGCUUUAAUUUCCAGACUGUCCUUUAAUUUUACUGCCAUACAGAAGUACAGUGUCUGUUAACAGAAAUAAAAAUUGCAGUGCAGAUCUUUGAAAGGACUUCAUUUGGUUGCCAAAACAAUUUAUCAUGACAGUAUCUGUUUCCUUGCUGGAAAUAGCCCCUUCAAAAAUCUUUGAUCUGUCUCUGAGUUGCAAAGAAAUUUGAAAGCAUUGAAACCAGUUGGCAAUUACAAAUCUAUCAAGUCAAUUGAUUGCAUGUUGGUUGUUUAAUUUUCACUCUGACAGUUUGCAAUGGCAUGUACAUGUAAAAGUAGGCU